CCCUUAGAUGUUCUGGGCCGCACGCGCGUUACACCGAUGCAUUCAACGAGCUUAUAACCUUGGCCGAGAGGCCUGGGCAAUCUUGUUAACGUGCAUCGUGAUAGGGAUAGAUUAUUGAAAUUAUUAAUCUUGAACGAGGAAUUCCUAGUAAACGCAGAUCAUCAAUCUGCAUUGAUUACGUCCCUGCCCUUUGUACACACCGCCCGUCGCACCUACCGAUUGGAUGGUCCGGUGAAGCCUCGGGAUUGUGGUUCUUGCCGCUUUAUUGUGGCGUGACCGCGAGAACUUGUCUAAACCUUAUCAUCUAGAGGAAGGUGAAGUCGUAACA
RNAcentral lists this ribosomal RNA (328 nucleotides) under uncultured eukaryote. Its description in RNAcentral is "partial 18S ribosomal RNA". It matches the Rfam family "Eukaryotic small subunit ribosomal RNA", at positions 1470 to 1796 of the family's 1831-position model. The record is from RNAcentral.